UAGUUCUCAUAGUUGA
This 16-nucleotide transfer RNA is filed under the name Umbra krameri (European mudminnow). RNAcentral describes it as "partial tRNA-Glu". Lineage: Eukaryota; Metazoa; Chordata; Actinopteri; Esociformes; Umbridae. The record is from RNAcentral.